UACAGAGGUCUCGAGCGUUGUUCGGAUUCAUUGGGCGUAAAGGGUGCGUAGGCGGCGCUGUAAGUCGGGUGUGAAAUCCUGAGGCUUAACCUCGGAACUGCAUUCGAUACUGCGGCGCUUGAGGACUGGAGAGGAGACUGGAAUUCAUGGUGUAGCGGUGAAAUGCGUAGAGAUCAUGAAGAAGACCAGUGGCGAAGGCGGGUCUCUGGACAGUGCCUGACACUGAGGCACGAAAGCCAGGGGAGCAAACGGG
RNAcentral lists this ribosomal RNA (253 nucleotides) under uncultured bacterium. RNAcentral describes it as "partial 16S ribosomal RNA". It matches the Rfam family "Bacterial small subunit ribosomal RNA", at positions 524 to 776 of the family's 1533-position model. The record is from RNAcentral.